UUGAAAGGGAAACGAUUGAAGUCAGUCGUACCUGUGGGUAAUCAGCCUUUUGGGUGUGAUUUUGUGGAGUGUGAGGAGUUAAACGCCUUCAUGCCUGCAUAUUCGUGCACUUUGGGUGUAUUUACCCGUGUGGUAAGUUAACAUCAAUUUCGGUGGUCAUAAAAUGGCUGGAGGAAUGUAGCUUCGAUCUCGUAUUGAAGUGUUAUAGCCUUCGGUAGAUGUGAUAAUCGGGAUUGAGGAUUGCAACGGAUACCCUUCGGGGCUACCUGUCUGAUCUCUGAUCGUUGCUCUGGUGCCGAAAGCUUGCUUACGGUUAUCAAAGUCGAUGGUCAAUAGGUUGGAACGGGUUAAAUUCGUUAAGGAUGUUGACGUA
RNAcentral lists this ribosomal RNA (373 nucleotides) under uncultured Glomeromycotina. RNAcentral's name for it is "LSU rRNA". The record is from RNAcentral. Lineage: Eukaryota; Fungi; Glomeromycota.